Non-coding RNA from Nicotiana tabacum (common tobacco), 1195 nucleotides. NCBI's taxonomy places the organism in Eukaryota, Viridiplantae, Streptophyta, Magnoliopsida, Solanales, Solanaceae. The record is from RefSeq and is a predicted model, not a curated record.
GCUGGAAAAAAAUUAUCAUUUCAAAUAUGCAGCUAACUCUAACAUAUUGGAAUUUGGAUAUACGUGAACCAUUUUCUACAAAUGAUCCAGUACUUCCUCUUUCGACAUUCCGUCAUAUAUAAGUCAAUUACAACAUAGUCAAAUGUCAUUUCCACAAGCAUCUAUGUUUAUCAACUACAUACAUAAUUGGAUAUCAAACUAUUUUUUUGAUUCUCAGAGCUUGGGCUUGUGCAUAGCAUGAUCAUCAGAAUGAGUACCUGUAACUCAUGUAUCUCAUUUCAACUCCACAAACUAAUCAGAGUACACUAUGAAAAGUUUAUCCACUCCUUCCAUAAAAUUACUAACUUAUCAGGUUUGGGCUCGGGUUCAGCACUGGCCAUUCCACACUAGUUUUUUUUAUUAAUAAGGGACAGUUUUAGGAGCUUGGGGUCGUCAGGGACCUUUUGGGAAGGCUGAAAAAGUUUUAGGGUUAUUUUGGGAAAACUGGCCUAACAGACGUGGUAUCCCCAGUUCUGACGCAUAUCCUUCAAAAAAACCGGCGCCGCACUGGUUAGCCUAACACACGGUUCAUAAUCUCCUUCUAAUCUAUUGGUUUAUCGUAAGUUGUACCGUCUUUGAACACUUUUCUCUCCAGGUCGUCUGCUCUUUUCUUGCACUUCGAUGGAUUAUUGUGUUUACCGGCUCAAGACAGAAAAGCAAUUUAUCCUUGCGGUCCCUCCAUCUCAAGGAGUACGCUGAUUUGUGUUAUUGGGCCAUGCGCAACAUGGGCUACCCUUACUAUAUAUCUUAUACAAGGGAAAAUCAGCUAGCACGAGAUCAACAUUCUAGCUUGGCAACCGGAUGCCAGUCCGGAGAUAUUACAAAGUUUAGUAGUUAAAGUGUCAUCCAUUGUGCAGUAAGUAUGGGACUUUCUUGAUCAGAUAACAGCUGCAUUCGGUUCAUCGUAUUCCUGAGAAUACUUUUCGGCGCUGGACUAUAUGGGGAUUCAGCUGAUUUCGCAAACCAACACGUCAGAGACGUUCCAAUGAAUUAGACUAAUGUCUAUACGUUACUGCCACAUAUUGCUAACAUGCACUGCUUGAAAACUGUCAAAUUUCGACCACCAAUAUUAAAGGAAAAAUAAUCGAUUUCCGACCGCUUUUAAUUAGUCGGAAGAAUAAUGAUCGCUAAAGCGUUGCGACCGAAAGAUUUCGAU